This 137-nucleotide ribosomal RNA is filed under the name Bos taurus (domestic cattle). The record is from RNAcentral. RNAcentral also lists the same sequence under 4 other names. Lineage: Eukaryota; Metazoa; Chordata; Mammalia; Artiodactyla; Bovidae.
GUCUACAGCCAUACCACCCUGAACACGCCUGAUCACAUCUGAUCUCGGAAGCUAAGCAGGGUCGGGCCUGGUUAGAACUUGGAUGGGAGGGCAGCUUCCACUCAUCACAACUAGAGAAAGCCUGUAUACAGCAGCAA